CUAAGAAUAUUCCACAAUGGACGAAAGUCUGAUGGAGCGACGCCGCGUGGAUGAUGAAGGCCGAAAGGUUGUAAAAUCCUUUUAAACUGGAAGAAUAAUCAUGGUAGGGAAUGACCGUGAGGUGACCGUACAGUUUGAAUAAGCAACGGCUAAUUACGUGCCAGCAGCCGCGGUAACACGUAAGUUGCGAGCGUUGUUCGGAAUUAUUGGGCGUAAAGGGCAUGUAGGCGGUUUUGAAAGCUUGAUGUGAAAUCCCACAGCUUAACUGUGGAACUGCAUUGAGAACUACAAGACUAGAGUUACUGAAGGGAAACUAGAAUUCCAAGUGUAGGGUGAAAUCUGUAGAUAUUUGGAAGAAUACCAAUGGCAAGGCAAGUUUCUGGCAGAUAACUGACGCUGA
Molecule: ribosomal RNA, 400 nt
Filed under: uncultured bacterium
Lineage: Bacteria
Description: bacterial SSU rRNA
Rfam family: Bacterial small subunit ribosomal RNA
Source: RNAcentral